This 406-nucleotide ribosomal RNA is filed under the name uncultured bacterium. RNAcentral's name for it is "partial 16S ribosomal RNA". It matches the Rfam family "Bacterial small subunit ribosomal RNA", at positions 30 to 526 of the family's 1533-position model. The record is from RNAcentral.
AUUGAACGCUGGCGGCAGGCCUAACACAUGCAAGUCGAGCGAGCGGCGGACGGGUGCGUAAUGUAUGGGGAUCUGCCCGAUAGAGGGGGAUAACUACUGGAAACGGUGGCUAAUACCGCAUACUAACGGCUGAACCCAUGUGGGAUUAGCUAGUAGGUUGGGUAAAGGCUCCCCGGGGCGACGCUCUCUAGCUGGUCUGAGAGGAUGAUCAGCCACACUGGGACUGAGACACGGCCCAGACUCCUACGGGAGGCAGCAGUGGGGAAUAUUUCACAAUGGGCGCAAGCCUGAUGCAGCCAUGCCGCGUGUAUGAAGAAGGCCUUAGGGUUGUAAAGUACUUUCAGCGGGGAGGCGUUACCCGCAGAAGAAGCACCGGCUAACUCCGUGCCAGCAGCCGCGGUAAUAC